UAACCCAUUUUCCUCCAUCCUUUGCAGCUAUCCUUAACAUUGCAUUGCAUCCCUCCCUAGUGGCAGGCCGCGAGGAAAAAACUCCAUUUUCUCUCUUUGUACAUUUCCCUGCACGAAACCCUUCUUUUGAGCAAACAAACUCUCGACCAAUUAUUGAGUUAUCUUUAAGUGACCGACGUGUACGAUUGUUCCGUAUGGUAAACCCCAUACGCCACAUCUCGUAGAAUUCCCUGGCAUCCUCUGCUGAGUCAAACUCCAUUCCUAUAAAUGGUUCCAAAGCUAUAGGAAAAUUUUGAACAGAUGGCUGAACUAUGUUAUCAUUUCCAUCCAGAUUAUCUGAUAGCUCAUCUUCUGUUGUUUCUGGGCCAUCAAAAGUUUCAUCUAGCCAACGCCUAUAAUUUCCAUUUGAAUGGAAUUGUUGGCUGGAAGUACUUGCCAUCACAAACCAAUGAAAGCGACGAAUUACAUGAAAGAAUAAGGUGUUGGCGUUGUAAUCGAACGAAUAAACUCUGGGCAGAUUCUGUAAAAGCAAAUGCAAAGUUGGGAUUUUAGAGUUUUCCAAAUGAUUGGGAAUUUAAGGGACGAAGCCUACAUGGCUGGAGGAGGAU
This 608-nucleotide unclassified non-coding RNA is filed under the name Hevea brasiliensis (rubber tree). Lineage: Eukaryota; Viridiplantae; Streptophyta; Magnoliopsida; Malpighiales; Euphorbiaceae. The record is from RNAcentral.